RNAcentral lists this ribosomal RNA (468 nucleotides) under uncultured bacterium. Its description in RNAcentral is "partial 16S ribosomal RNA". It matches the Rfam family "Bacterial small subunit ribosomal RNA", at positions 28 to 507 of the family's 1533-position model. The record is from RNAcentral.
GACGAACGCUGGCGGCGUGCUUAACACAUGCAAGUCGAACGGAAAGGCCCUGCUUUUGUGGGGUGCUCGAGUGGUGAACGGGUGAGUAACACGUGAGUAACCUGCCCUUGACUUUGGGAUAACUUCAGGAAACUGGGGCUAAUACCGGAUAGGAGCUCCUGCUGCAUGGUGGGGGUUGGAAAGUUUCGACGGUUGGGGAUGGACUCGCGGCUUAUCAGCUUGUUGGUGGGGUAGUGGCUUACCAAGGCUUUGACGGGUAGCCGGCCUGAGAGGGUGACCGGCCACAUUGGGACUGAGAUACGGCCCAGACUCCUACGGGAGGCAGCAGUGGGGAAUAUUGCACAAUGGGCGGAAGCCUGAUGCAGCAACGCCGCGUGCGGGAUGACGGCCUUCGGGUUGUAAACCGCUUUCGCCUGUGACGAAGCGUGAGUGACGGUAAUGGGUAAAGAAGCACCGGCUAACUACGUG